This 1160-nucleotide long non-coding RNA is filed under the name Phoenix dactylifera (date palm). Its description in RNAcentral is "long non-coding RNA (PDAC_LNC015225)". Lineage: Eukaryota; Viridiplantae; Streptophyta; Magnoliopsida; Arecales; Arecaceae. The record is from RNAcentral.
CCCGGGCCCGACCCAAGCCCGAGCCCAAUGCCAGCCCGAACCAGAAUCGAAGAAGGCCCGAAAUAGAAUUGGGUAUUUGGCCAUUAGCUGGGUUACUUUGCGGUUGCCGGUUGGGGAUUUUUUCUGGAAUCGCGAUUUGCAGAGGCGACUGGUCGAGAGCCGCGAGACGCGAAGACGGUGGUCCGGUGGAGGCUCGUCGUCAUCGUCUAGGGUCCGAUGGAGGCAUGGAGGCUCGGCGGCGGCGGCUCGUCGAGUGCAGAGGUGAGACGAGAGCGGUGGAGGCUCGUCGUCGUCGGCUCGUCGAGUGCUAGGGUUUCUCCGCUCGUCGUCGUCGGCUCUCAGGUUAGCGGAUUUGGUGCUUUACCUUGUUCUUCUUUUCCCCCUUAACGAAGAAUCCGAGUCAUAAUAAAAGAAGGGAUUUUUCGACGUAGCCUCCCCUUUUCUCGCCCCUCACCGGCACCCAACCUCCCACCUCCUGCUCCGGCGUGCGCUCUUCUUUCCCGCCAACGCCUCAUACACCCCCGUUCUUUCCAGAUUUGGGUUUGAUUUGUUCUUUUUUGAGGAUUUGUGGCGUUCAAUUUACUGAUUUGGGAUUUGUUGAAAGGAAUAGAUCUUUGGUCAACAAUUUGAUUUAGGGUUUCCAGAGUUGGGAAUGAUUUGUUCUUACUUGAGGAUCUGUGCCUUUAGUUUACAGACUUGGGAUUUCUUGAAAAGAAACAAGUCUUCGGUCAAAAUUUUUAAUUAUAGGAUUCUUUGGUUGAUUAUAUGAUUGAGGUUUUUGGUUAACAAUUUGAUUUAGGGUUUUCAGAAUUAAGAACGAUUGGUUCUUGUUUAAGGAUCUGUGACCUUUAAUUUACUGAUUUGGGAUUUAUUGAAAGGGAUUUAGAGUGUCCCUUGGCUGCUAGUUUGAUCUAGAUUUUAGAAUUUUGAUUUAAUUUGUUCCAGUCAUACACCCCCUUUCUCCCCACCCCAACUCUCUCUCUCUAUCUUUCUCUCUUCUCUCUCUCUCCCUCUCACGAUCUCACCCGGCUCUGUUUGUUAGUGACAUACUAUUUUUUUUCACUUAUGCUUUUAGUUCAUGUCUUUCUUAGUUUGUUAUUUGGAGUGGAAUGCUAUGAUUUUUUUUAAAUGAAUAGAAUUUCUAAUUUGUGUUCGUGGAG